GGAUUGUGGCUCAGCGGUGGAGUGUUCGCCUCGCACGGGAGGGACCUGGGUUCGAUCCUCAGCACCA
RNAcentral lists this transfer RNA (67 nucleotides) under Marmota monax (woodchuck). RNAcentral describes it as "tRNA.Ala". Lineage: Eukaryota; Metazoa; Chordata; Mammalia; Rodentia; Sciuridae. The record is from RNAcentral.